GGGGCAGUGGUGAGAGAAGACUGUGGAUUCCAGAGUAGGCAAGCCUACCUUUGAAUCUUGAUCUCUGCCCUUUCAAUGAAGUAUCAGGCAAGUCCCCGACCAUCUCCGAGUCUCCUGUGUAAAAGGCUUGUAGGAGGGUUGAAAUUACCCCGGGUGUGCAAUAUCUGACACAGUAUAGGAAUCCUGUACGUGUUAGCUCCAUCCCGAGAUGCCAUCUGAGACUCACAUGAGACCUUUGUCCAUGUCCCUCUAUAAAUGUGCCUUUACAACAUGCCAUGGUCCACCCCACUCCCAACCAUUAUUUUCCGAGCUCAUUGGCCAAGGAUGGGUGAGAGGGAGACGGGAGCGGAAAGGCCCUCGGGAGGAUUCAUUCCUGCGGCAUCUGGAUACAGAUCAGAUCUCCUACUUCCAUAACAUGCACGUUUCAUUUAGAUACACAGGGGGGCCCGCAGCGGCGGCGUGGAGCCCGCAGGAGAACAGCGCAUGGGGGAAGGAUGAAGCUGACUGGCGGAGGAGCAUCCUGCCUGCUGACGCAUCGGUGGAUUUUUGCUUCUGGUCAUUAUUUCGGCUCCUGGACUCUGGUGCCACGAGAGGCCCCUUUAUCAACAGCAGGAGUCCUGCUGUCCAGCAGACCUCUUCCAGAACCUUCCGGAUAUGGUUCGCCCUUGUCAAGCAAGGGGCUUUCUGAGUUCAGAGGCAGAGGCAGUCGGCUGGGACGUCAGGAAUUCACGGGCAUGGCCGGCAGCUGCUGCAUGCAAUGAAGCUUGUAGACACAGGGAGCUGAAAUGUAGACUCGUUAAAGUUACCGUGGAGGAUCGCUCCGAAAUUCAUUCUGAUAGCUUUUCCUGAAGUCUAAAUGCCACCACAUAUGAUGCUGCAAUACGUUCUUUCCUUUCUCUCUCACACGCAGGGGUUCCCUUGUGUUAAGUCCUAGAGCACAUUAUCUGUCUUCAUCUAUGAGGCGGUCACUUUAUCACGGUCUUCAGGGAUUACACAAUCUGAGGUUGUGUGGUUUCCCGUGUCUCACUCUCUAGAAGGAACUAGUCAUUUGAGUUUUUAAGAUUUCUCAUAUCUUUCCAGACCCCUUGUGCUCCAGCAUCUCAUUCAAAGAGAGAAACAGUUAUAUUGUCCUCAUUCUUGGUGCCUAACUAAAUUACAAAUGAUUGAAAAAAGAUGGCUAGACUUAUCUUGUUAUUUGGAAAAAAAUCUCUCUCAUACCCCCAAAUAAAUGUUUUUUAUAUUGUCAAAUGGUCUUUUUUAAAAAAAAAAAAAAAGAAAGCAAAAACUUUCAUCAUAUUUCUCUAAGUAGGAUUGAGGAAACCAUAUAUUUAGGGAUCCGAAGUAGCCUUGGGCCCCAAAUCUGUGGUAUCUGUUCCUUUGAAAAGUCCAUCAUGAUGAUUCCCUACUUGACUUUUCCUUCUAGUAUAAAAAUAAACAAGGAGAUGGAGUUCCCGUCGUGGCUCAGUGGUUAAUGAAUCCGACUAGGAACCAUGAGGUGGAGGGUUCGGUCCCUUACCUCGCUCAGCGGGUUAAGGAUCCGGUGUUUCCGUGAGCUGUGGUGUAGGCUGCAGACUCGGCUUGGAUCCUGAGUUGCUGUGGCUGUGGCGUAGGCCAGUGGCUACAGCUCCGAUUAGACCCCUAGCCUGGGAACCUCCAUAGGCCAUGGGAGCAGCCCAAGAAAUGGCAAAAAGGAAAAAUAAAUAAGUAAAUAAAUAAACAAGGAGAAAGAUUAACGUAGUUCUUAUUCAUACAUUGUGUUCCAUUUCCAUGUUUUAAAUUGAAAUAAAAUUGAGGCAAUAUCAUAUAUGUCACAAUUAAAAUGGAAAAAUUAAAAUUUGACGACCAAAAAACACUGUUCUAGAAGCUUGACUUGGCAACAUAUUAUGUGAUCUUCAAUAAGUUUUUUUAACCUUCAGGGCUUUAAU
RNAcentral lists this long non-coding RNA (1925 nucleotides) under Sus scrofa (pig). RNAcentral's name for it is "lncRNA (ENSSSCG00035018568.1)". The record is from RNAcentral. Lineage: Eukaryota; Metazoa; Chordata; Mammalia; Artiodactyla; Suidae.